Molecule: ribosomal RNA, 253 nt
Filed under: uncultured bacterium
Lineage: Bacteria
Description: partial 16S ribosomal RNA
Rfam family: Bacterial small subunit ribosomal RNA
Source: RNAcentral
UACGUAGGCAGCAAGCGUUGUUCGGAAUUACUGGGCGUAAAGAGCGUGUAGGCGGCCUGGAAGGUCAGCUGUGAAAACUCGAGGCUCAACCUCGAGACGUCGGUUGAAACCACCUGGCUAGAGUCCGGAAGAGGAGAGUGGAAUUCCCGGUGUAGCGGUGAAAUGCGCAGAUAUCGGGAAGAACACCCGUGGCGAAGGCGGCUCUCUGGGACGGUACUGACGCUGAGACGCGAAAGCGUGGGGAGCGAACAGG